Molecule: transfer RNA, 74 nt
Filed under: Bos taurus (domestic cattle)
Lineage: Eukaryota; Metazoa; Chordata; Mammalia; Artiodactyla; Bovidae
Also listed under: 3 other names
Source: Rfam by way of RNAcentral
UCCCUGGUGAUCCAGUGGUCUAAGACUCUGCGCUGCCAAUGCAGGGUGCUCGGGUUUGACCCCUGGUCAGGGAA